GACGAACGCUGGCGGCGUGCUUAACACAUGCAAGUCGAGCGGUAAGGCCCUUUCGGGGGUACGACGAGCGGCGAACGGGUGAGUAACACGUGGGUGACCUGCCCUCAGCUCUGGGAUAAGCCUGGGAAACCGGGUCUAAUACCGGAUAUGACUCCAUGACGCAUGUUGUGGGGUGGAAAGCCUUGUGCGGCUGAGGAUGGGCCCGCGACCUAUCAGCUUGUUGGUGGGGUGAGGCCUACCAAGGCGACGACGGGUAGCCGGCCUGAGAGGGCGACCGGCCACACUGGGACUGAGACACGGCCCAGACUCCUACGGGAGGCAGCAGUGGGGAAUCUUGCGCAAUGGGCGAAAGCCUGACGCAGCGACGCCGCGUGAGGGAUGACGGCCUGGUUGUAAC
RNAcentral lists this ribosomal RNA (397 nucleotides) under uncultured bacterium. RNAcentral describes it as "bacterial SSU rRNA". It matches the Rfam family "Bacterial small subunit ribosomal RNA", at positions 28 to 429 of the family's 1533-position model. The record is from RNAcentral.